AAGAUGGCGACCGGCGGCACGGGUGAGUAACACGUAUCCAACCUGCCGAUAACUCCGGAAUAGCCUUUCGAAAGAAAGAUUAAUACCGGAUGGCAUACGAAUAUCGCAUGAUAUUUUUAUUUAAAGAAUUUCGGUUAUCGAUGGGGAUGCGUUCCAUUAGUUUGUUGGCGGGGUAACGGCCCACCAAGACAACGAUGGAUAGGGGUUCUGAGAGGAAGGUCCCCCACAUUGGAACUGAGACACGGUCCAA
Molecule: ribosomal RNA, 250 nt
Filed under: uncultured bacterium
Lineage: Bacteria
Description: partial 16S ribosomal RNA
Rfam family: Bacterial small subunit ribosomal RNA
Source: RNAcentral